CAUACGGGUGGCAGCAGUGAGGAAUAUUGGUCAAUGGGCGCGAGCCUGAACCAGCCAAGUCGCGUGAGGGAGGACGGCCCUACGGGUUGUAAACCUCUUUUGCCGGGGAGCAACGGGCGUCACGUGUGGCUCCACUGAGAGUACCCGGAGAAAAAGCAUCGGCUAACUCCGUGCCAGCAGCCGCGGUAAUACGGAGGAUGCAAGCGUUAUCCGGAUUUAUUGGGUUUAAAGGGUGCGUAGGCGGUGAGGUAAGUCAGCUGUGAAAUGCCCCCGCUCAACGGGGUGAAGUGCCAUUGAUACUGGCUUGCUGGAAUGCGGAUGACGUGGGAGGAAUGUGUGGUGUAGCGGUGAAAUGCAUAGAUAUCACACAGAACACCGAUUGCGAAGGCAUCUCACGAAUCCGCGAUUGACGCUGAUGCACGAAAGCGUGGGUAUCAAACAGGAUUAGAUACCCUUGUAGUC
Molecule: ribosomal RNA, 462 nt
Filed under: uncultured bacterium
Lineage: Bacteria
Description: partial 16S ribosomal RNA
Rfam family: Bacterial small subunit ribosomal RNA
Source: RNAcentral